Molecule: long non-coding RNA, 254 nt
Filed under: Hordeum vulgare
Lineage: Eukaryota; Viridiplantae; Streptophyta; Magnoliopsida; Poales; Poaceae
Description: long non-coding RNA (HVUL_LNC008620)
Source: RNAcentral
AAUUGGCAGCGCGACACUCUUUGCAAAAUUGGUUCGUAGGCCAGUCACCUCCUGGAAUAUCUGUAGGAUAAAUCCAACCAUUCUCAUGUCCUCUUGAACUGGGUUCAUAAAAGCGCCAAGUCAUCAGCAUAAAGUGAUGUUCUCAUUGUGGCUGCCCGUCCCCGAAGCCGUGAGAGCAACCCAUGCUCGGUUGCCAUGUCGAAAAUCCUAUGGAGGGGCUCCAUGACGAUGAUGAAGAGGAUGGCGAUAUUGGA